This 269-nucleotide unclassified non-coding RNA is filed under the name Hevea brasiliensis (rubber tree). The record is from RNAcentral. Lineage: Eukaryota; Viridiplantae; Streptophyta; Magnoliopsida; Malpighiales; Euphorbiaceae.
GAGAUCUGACUUGUUAUGGCUGUACAAGAAUUGCAAGGUCAACUUUAUUGAAGUUUCACCAGACAAAAUCCCUUUGAUUUUUCCCAGCCUCUCUGCGUAUAUUGCUUCUCGUGGAUCUACUCUUGUUUCAAUUAAAGGUUGAUUUUCCUCCGCCAUUUGAACAUCCUCUGCAGCAGUAGCAUCUCCAGUCUGUGCAGUAUUAGGCUCAGCAGGUUCUGAAGGUUGUACUUCUGGACUGGAGAGUCGAUCUCUCACAUUCAAAAGAAAAG